UAUGAAGGGGGCUAGCGUUGCUCGGAAUUACUGGGCGUAAAGGGCGCGUAGGCGAACAGUUUAGUCAGAGGUGAAAGCCCAGGGCUCAACCUUGGAAUUGCCUUUGAUACUGGCUGUCUUGAGUUCGGGAGAGGUGAGUGGAAUGCCGAGUGUAGAGGUGAAAUUCGUAGAUAUUCGGCGGAACACCAGUGGCGAAGGCGACUCACUGGCCCGAUACUGACGCUGAGGCGCGAAAGCGUGGGGAGCAAACAGG
Molecule: ribosomal RNA, 253 nt
Filed under: uncultured bacterium
Lineage: Bacteria
Description: partial 16S ribosomal RNA
Rfam family: Bacterial small subunit ribosomal RNA
Source: RNAcentral